GACGAACGCUGGCGGCGUGCUUAACACAUGCGAGUCGAACGGAAAGGCCCUGCUUUUGUGGGGUGCUCGAGUGGCGAACGGGUGAGUAACACGUGAGUAACCUGCCCUUGACUUUGGGAUAACUUCAGGAAACUGGGGCUAAUACCGGAUAGGAGCUCCUGCUGCAUGGUGGGGGUUGGAAAGUUUCGGCGGUUGGGGAUGGACUCGCGGCUUAUCAGCUUGUUGGUGGGGUAGUGGCUUACCAAGGCUUUGACGGGUAGCCGGCCUGAGAGGGUGACCGGCCACAUUGGGACUGAGAUACGGACCAGACUCCUACGGGGGGCAGCAGUGGGGAAUAUUGCACAAUGGGCGGAAGCCUGAUGCAGCAACGCCGCGUGCGGGAUGACGGCCUUCGGGUUGUAAACCGCUUUCGCCUGUGACGAAGCGUGAGUGACGGUAAUGGGUAAAGAAGCACCGGCUAACUACGUG
This 468-nucleotide ribosomal RNA is filed under the name uncultured bacterium. Its description in RNAcentral is "partial 16S ribosomal RNA". It matches the Rfam family "Bacterial small subunit ribosomal RNA", at positions 28 to 507 of the family's 1533-position model. The record is from RNAcentral.